GACGAACGCUGGCGGCGUGCCUAACACAUGCAAGUCGAACGGGGUGAUUCCUUCGGGGAUCACUUAGUGGCGAACGGGUGAGUAACGCGUGAGAAACCUGCCUUUCAGUGGGGGACAACAGUUGGAAACGACUGCUAAUACCGCAUAAUGUUUCGAGAGGGCAUCCUUUUGAAACCAAAGCUUUAUGUGCUGAAAGAUGGUCUCGCGUCUGAUUAGCUAGUUGGUGAGGUAACGGCUCACCAAGGCGACGAUCGGUAGCCGGACUGAGAGGUUGAACGGCCACAUUGGGACUGAGACACGGCCCAGACUCCUACGGGAGGCAGCAGUGGGGAAUAUUGCACAAUGGGGGAAACCCUGAUGCAGCAACGCCGCGUGAGGGAAGACGGUUUUCGGAUUGUAAACCUCUGUCCUCUGUGAAGAAGAAAGUGACGGUAGCAGAGGAGGAAGCCACGGCUAACUACGUGCCAGCAGCCGCG
This 476-nucleotide ribosomal RNA is filed under the name uncultured bacterium. Its description in RNAcentral is "bacterial SSU rRNA". It matches the Rfam family "Bacterial small subunit ribosomal RNA", at positions 28 to 519 of the family's 1533-position model. The record is from RNAcentral.